Sphaeramia orbicularis (orbiculate cardinalfish) is the source of this 378-nucleotide non-coding RNA. NCBI's taxonomy places the organism in Eukaryota, Metazoa, Chordata, Actinopteri, Kurtiformes, Apogonidae. The record is from the annotation of a RefSeq genome assembly.
AUGAUGGACUGUAGGACAGGACUGCUGCUCUUAACUAUCUGCUGGGCAGGUGUUGAUGGUCAGACUCUGACCGAAUCUGACCCGGCAGUAAAAAGACCUGGAGAAUCCCACAGACUGACCUGUACAACAUCUGGUCUGCCAGUCAGUAGCAACCAUCUGGCCUGGAUCAGACAGGCUCCUGGAAAAGGACUGGAGUGGAUCGCUACUCUGUAUAGUGGUGGGGGCAUCUACUAUUCCCAGUCAGUCCAAGGUCGUUUCACCAUCUCCAGAGACAAUGGCAGAAACCAGCUGUAUCUGCAGAUGAACAGUCUGAAGACAGAGGACACAGCAGUGUAUUACUGUGCUCGAAGAGACACAGAGGCAUGUGAGAACAGUUGA